This 251-nucleotide ribosomal RNA is filed under the name uncultured prokaryote. RNAcentral's name for it is "partial 16S rRNA". It matches the Rfam family "Bacterial small subunit ribosomal RNA", at positions 525 to 775 of the family's 1533-position model. The record is from RNAcentral.
ACGUAGGGGGCGAGCGUUGUCCGGAAUUACUGGGCGUAAAGGGUGCGUAGGCGGCAUGUUAAGUUGGAUGUGAAAUACCCGGGCUCAACCUGGGGGGUGCAUCCAAAACUGGCAAGCUAGAGUGCAGGAGAGGAAAGCGGAAUUCCUAGUGUAGCGGUGAAAUGCGUAGAUAUUAGGAGGAACACCAGUGGCGAAGGCGGCUUUCUGGACUGCAACUGACGCUGAUGCACGAAAGCGUGGGGAGCAAACAG